Molecule: ribosomal RNA, 252 nt
Filed under: uncultured bacterium
Lineage: Bacteria
Description: partial 16S ribosomal RNA
Rfam family: Bacterial small subunit ribosomal RNA
Source: RNAcentral
UACGGAGGAUGCGAGCGUUAUCCGGAUUUAUUGGGUUUAAAGGGUGCGCUGGCGGCACGGCAAGCCGGCGGUCAAAUCGCGGGGCUCAACCCCGCCCAGCCGUCGGAACUGCCGGGCUAGAGUGGGCGAGAAGUGCGCGGAAUGCGUGGUGUAGCGGUGAAAUGCAUAGAUAUCACGCAGAACUCCGAUUGCGAAGGCAGCGCACCGGCGCCCUACUGACGCUCAGGCACGAAAGCGUGGGUAUCGAACAGG